RNAcentral lists this ribosomal RNA (996 nucleotides) under uncultured bacterium. Its description in RNAcentral is "bacterial SSU rRNA". It matches the Rfam family "Bacterial small subunit ribosomal RNA", at positions 356 to 1376 of the family's 1533-position model. The record is from RNAcentral.
GGGGGAUAUUGCGCAAUGGGGGCAACCCUGACGCAGCAACGCCGCGUGAAGGAUGAAGGUUUUCGGAUUGUAAACUUCUUUUAUUAAGGACGAAACUUGACGGUACUUAAUGAAUAAGCUCCGGCUAACUACGUGCCAGCAGCCGCGGUAAUACGUAGGGAGCAAGCGUUGUCCGGAUUUACUGGGUGUAAAGGGUGCGUAGGCGGCUUUGCAAGUCAGAUGUGAAAUCUAUGGGCUCAACCCAUAAACUGCAUUUGAAACUGUAGAGCUUGAGUGAAGUAGAGGCAGGCGGAAUUCCCGGUGUAGCGGUGAAAUGCGUAGAGAUCGGGAGGAACACCAGUGGCGAAGGCGGCCUACUGGGCUUUAACUGACGCUGAGGCACGAAAGUGUGGGUAGCAAACAGGAUUAGAUACCCUGGUAGUCCACACUGUAAACGAUGAUUACUAGGUGUUGGAGGAUUGACCCCUUCAGUGCCGCAGUUAACACAAUAAGUAAUCCACCUGGGGAGUACGACCGCAAGGUUGAAACUCAAAGGAAUUGACGGGGGCCCGCACAAGCAGUGGAGUAUGUGGUUUAAUUCGACGCAACGCGAAGAACCUUACCAAGUCUUGACAUCCCUUGACAGACAUAGAAAUAUGUAAUCUCUUCGGAGCAAGGAGACAGGUGGUGCAUGGUUGUCGUCAGCUCGUGUCGUGAGAUGUUGGGUUAAGUCCCGCAACGAGCGCAACCCUUAUGGUCAGUUACUACGCAAGAGGACUCUGGCCAGACUGCCGUUGACAAAACGGAGGAAGGUGGGGAUGACGUCAAAUCAUCAUGCCCUUUAUGACUUGGGCUACACACGUACUACAAUGGCGUUAAACAAAGAGAAGCAAGACCGCGAGGUGGAGCAAAACUCAGAAACAACGUCCCAGUUCGGACUACAGGCUGCAACUCGCCUGCACGAAAUCGGAAUUGCUAGUAAUCGUGGAUCAGCAUGCCACGGUGAAUACGUUCCCG